UGUUUGAUGUAUGGAUAAUUUGUGAAAAUCAGACACUUAAUUUUAAUGAUUACAAUUAUUCUUUAAUUUUAUUUUUUAACAUAAAUAAAAGAAAGA
This is a long non-coding RNA of Maniola jurtina (meadow brown), 96 nucleotides long. RefSeq lists it as uncharacterized. NCBI's taxonomy places the organism in Eukaryota, Metazoa, Arthropoda, Insecta, Lepidoptera, Nymphalidae. The transcript is spliced from 3 exons. The record is from RefSeq and is a predicted model, not a curated record.